Long non-coding RNA from Neogale vison (American mink), 739 nucleotides. RefSeq lists it as uncharacterized. Lineage: Eukaryota; Metazoa; Chordata; Mammalia; Carnivora; Mustelidae. The transcript has 3 exons. The record is from RefSeq and is a predicted model, not a curated record.
UUGGCCCGCGGCCGUGCGCACUCUCCCGGGCGCGCCCUGUGGCUCCUCGCCAUCACUUUGCGUUCCGAGGACGGUAGGCGUUUUCCAUUUGCAGCGGGCCGAGGUUGGGCAACUUAGUGACGGACCUCCGGCAAGGAUUUUGCCUUGUUUACUAGCGGCGUAAGUGCUCGGCCUCCGGGCAGUCCUGGAGGGAUUUACUUGUUAGAGCGCGCAAAGAGCUGCUAAGGACAGAAGAAACUUCGGGAAGUUCGUAUCUCAGAAGAAAUGUGCGUUCUUCUUAGAAUCGAUGGAGAGUGAAGGAGGGGGUGGAAACGUCAGGUUACAAUGGUUUGGUGUAAGAACAGGAGUCCCAGGAAGUUGCUUGCUUUCGGGAAUUCAUCUCGAAGCUCUUCUUUGGUCUGGAGAAUUCAGAGAGAGUCUGUCCUACCCACAGUCGUCACUAUCUGGAAGAAGCGUUGAUCUGAAUUUCAUCAGAGUCCGCGUACUGAAAGCCCUAAGACCAGAAGCUGCUAAGCAGAAGUGAGCCCUCUGCCAGAAUCCUCCUAGAAUGCGAAACAGAGCCGUGGACAGCCAGACUGGGAUAAGAAAUCCACCUAAAUUAAACAAGUGAGAAGAAAAGGUCCAAAACCUUUAAGAGAUUAUUUCCUUUGAGGCAGUUUCUUUGUUCAUUGUGUAGCAUUUAGAAGCUUGUGAUUCAGUUAUCGACUGCAGUAGAAUUAACUUUCCCACAUAUUAAAAA